Long non-coding RNA from Homo sapiens (human), 3944 nucleotides. Ensembl annotates it as TTC28 antisense RNA 1. Its record names the gene TTC28-AS1. The record is from Ensembl. Lineage: Eukaryota; Metazoa; Chordata; Mammalia; Primates; Hominidae.
AAGCUCGACGCGCGCACUCUUGUCUGCUUACGAGGGCUCCUCCCUUCAGCUUUGGUCCCUCGGGGCGUCUGGGCAGCCUACGCUUUCCGACUGGAAUCAGCCAUUUUACCAAGAAAGUUGGGUUUCUUUUACUGGCAAAUAGUACUUCAAGAGCACAGUCUUAUGUAAGGGAGCUGUACCAAGUUAUUUUGGGUCAGAAUUCUCCUGGGAUAUCUUUUUUCUUCGCCUUUUUAAACUCGUUUAUUAUAAAAACAAUGUUACCAUAUGCAAAACUAGAAGAGUGUAAUGAAUUCCCGUGUGUCCAUCAUCUAUCUUUAACAGCAUGACCCAUCUGCCUGGCACCAGCACCUGGGGCUGCCAGGCAGCCACCCCUGCAGCUGUGUUGACAGGACCUGGCAGAGGGACUGACCCACCUUUGGAAAAUGACACCAGCAAUAUCAGGAUGUGUCAACUGGAUUUAUGCUAAGAAAAUAGGAUUUUUGGUGUUCCUCUGUUUCCCAAAGUUUGAGACACUUUCAGACACUCUGCUUUGCGGUUGUGGCCGAUGUUACCCAUGGGUGGGACUUUUGCUUUGCUCUAGAUUUUUGUAACACCCUGGGGAGUUUCAGGGGCCAAUGCUGAGAGAAGACCACAGGCUGACACAUCAUGAGGUAUGUUGGUAAAACAGUCCCGGCUGGCCGAGAGGCCACUGAGGGAACAGGCCCAGGGUUUGGUUUGUACUCUGUGAGUCUUGGCCUGGCAGGGUUUCCUGCAAAGCAGAGUCCUCUGAGUGGGACCCCAGGGGAAGCAGGUUGUUGCCUGGAGCUGAGGGGCAGCUCUGUAUUCAGGAGGGGUGCCUGCCUUCCCAUCUCCCCUGUGACCAGAUGUCACAGAAACAUUCUCUCUUUACUCCCUAGACCCUCUGGGCAGGUCCACUAAGAGCAUGUAUUCUAGAACAUGCAGGGCUUGAAGCUUCACAAGAUAUUCAGUGCACUCCUUACAGAUCCUGUCAAAUGUGGACCGGGUGGUGUCAUCGCACCACCAUCAUCCCCUUGUUACCCCUGAGAACACAGCUUCAGAGAGGGUAAGUAACCUAUCUCAGGCCACACAGCCAGGACAUGGAGUAGAUCCAUCCUAAGUCUUUCUACCACACACUCCUUUCUACAGUCAUGGGUUAAAUGAGGGUGCCAUGGAAUGGGUCAUCCAGUGUACACUGACAUCAGGAGGAGUUUCACAUUCAUACACUCAUGGCAAAUGGUUCUGUUGCUCCCUGGUCCAAAGAUGAUCUUAAUAGUAGGAAAAACUCAUUUGGCAGAAGCAAGACUCAGCACACAGGCUCUCUCCCUGAGUCUUCUGUGGCUGGCCUUGCCCUGCCCUCCCCUCCCCAACCCCACUGGCAGAAUAAAGUCGGGGGGCUGUGAGGACUGAGCCCCAGGCCUUGACAGGCACCCGCAGCCAGCCGAACUCCCACCUGCCCAGUUGGAGGGGUGCGAGAAGGCCUUGCUGCUCUGCACCACCUUCAUGGCCUCCCCCAGGGCGGCGCUGGCUUUCAGGCCGUUCAGCAGGGAUGAGUAGAAGGCAUGGAUGAACAUCUUAGAAGCAGCCACUGGCACAGGCCACAGAGACACGAGGACACACUGAGCGCCGGCAGCCAGGAAGGCCCUUGUCAGCGCGAUGACCCCGUCGGCUGUGACUUUGCUGUUGGACUCCUGGGAGGAGCCAAGCACCACCAGCUUCACAGGCAGCUGCAGGUCCAGGACGUCGGCGGCAGUGCCUAACUUACUGAGAAUCAUGCCUGCUGUGAUGAGCCCUUGGAAACCAUCAGGACUGGAUGGUAGGGGUCCUGAGAGGAUUGGGGGAGGAGGCCUUGAUAUGACAGAGUGGACAGAGGCCGUGGAACCCAGGACAGCCAGCCUGCUCCACAAUCCUCAUCCCCACAGACCUUCAUGUGUGGCUCCUAAAUAAGAGGAAACCCACUCCUGAUAAGUCAGGGGCUUUGAAAAGUGAUUUUGUUUAAAUGGUGCAAACAAGCAAGCCAAUCUUGGGGAGACAGGGCUAAACUUAAGUCCUUUAAGAAGCUCUACAUACUGACAAGAUUCUAGUUCCCUUCCACCUUAUAUGCUGCAAAGUAAAAAGUAUCACUGAAUGAGAAAAUCAGCAUAAAGAAGCCCAAUAAUGUCUGCCUGAGUUUCCCCUAUGAUGACUUUUGGUACUUUUUGGGAAACAUUAAGUAUGAAGUUAUUUCAAAAUAAUUUUUUGGUGCCUCUGCUUGGUGAUGCCUUAAACUCUGGGUAAGAGAAACACCAGGUGCCUGUCAGGAGAUGGCCUUUUCCAGGUUUCUGGUUAAGCUACAAACAGCUAACUGGCUGCUGUCAUCAAAAUAAAAGCUUUCUGAAGGUGGAGGCAUCUGAUACCCAGAGUGCUGCUAUCAGCCGGCACGGUGGGCCGCUGGGUGGCAGGAGCGUCGAGAAGGCCAGCUCGCUUCCUAUCUGGGAUUCAGAAUCAGCUAUGGAAACUUGAGAGACCUAGAGAAAAUAACUUCUUUCACUUUGAACUGAUUCUUUGCUUCAUAAGAAAAGUAUUAUCCAGCCACAAAAAUGGUCAAAAUUCAGAUCUACAAAAGCCUGUCAGGCAGAAACUGACCCCACUUAGGCCACGCCAAUGAGCAAGUCAUCAAAGCAGCCAAGACAGGUCCUGUGGGGGCCACCCAUGCACAGGGCCCAGCCUCGGGUCCUAACCCCGCCUAUGCUUUCCGCCACCAUAAAGAGGCCCAUCUGGUUCCACUGGCCUGUCGGGCUGUUUUCUACUCAACUCCACUCUUGCUUGUCUGCCCUCCCUGCCUGGGGCCCAGCCAGCAGUCAGCUCAAGGGCCAGAUGAAUUGGGUGGCUGUGCUCUGCCCACUGGGCAUCGUGUGGAUGGUGGGUGACCAGCCCCCUCAGGUGCUCAGCCAGGCCUCAAGCCUUGCUGUGUACCUCAGAGCAGCUCCGUACCCUGAUGUCACAGCAAAGAAACUUAGACAUGACACAAACUGUGGCUUCCCAAGGCAGCAAAGAAUGGCCAGGGGUCAUGAGGGCCGUGCCCCACUUUUGGACAGACCUACUCUAAAGUCACGCUACCUGCGUGCAAAUCAUAAAAUCAACACUUUUGAGGAGAUCACAGCUAUGCCUUCGUAACACAGCCCAGUCCGACCAGAUAGACGGUGCCUCGUGACCCGAAAACAAGCCCCCGGCCCCCCACCAUGUGUGUGAGCCUUACCUUGGACUGCACGCUGAGGGAGCGGAUGGAAGGGACAGCAAGGAGGCCGAAGCGCUCGUAGAGGUACUCAUUGGAGGAGCUUCCCUUCAGGAGGGCGAAAGGAAUGAGGUAGAGCUCCCCCUCCAGAACCAGGAUGAGCUGCCGGUGCCGGCCCACGGGGCCGCUGGAGUGCAUCAGGCCCUAUGGAGCAAGCACGGAGAGGCUGACAUGGGUGGCCCAGCAGGCAGGGGUUUCAGGCACCAGGACAACCCUGAGCCCUAGCCUGGAUGACACAAGCACGAGCAGAACAAGGCUAAGGGCGCGGGCAUCUUAAUGAGAGCAGCAGGCAACAAUCCUGGAAGCUGGGUCCACACAGACUGCGGUGAACAAAGAGGUGGCGUGGAAGCUGCUGCUGCAGCCCAGAGCCUGCCAAGAAGGUCCCAGGUCCACAGGGCCUGCGCAACACUGGGUGCCAGGGGUGGGGCUGGCCUGCCCCCCAACCCCAUCUGCUGAGGAGUGGCUGACAAGCGGACACCCACCAGGGUGCCACUCGCUUGUGCCUGGGGAAGCAAAUGUGCUCGCUUGACCCGUCUGAUGUGCUGCCGUGGGCACUUGACUGAGAGUGGCAGAGCACUAGGCUAACCCAAAGUGACACAUGCCUGGCGGGAUGUUCAGUCUCUGUAAACCCAUAUGGUUUUUUUUUUUCUUUCCUUUAAAAAAAAUUUCUAGC